This 245-nucleotide long non-coding RNA is filed under the name Setaria viridis. Its description in RNAcentral is "long non-coding RNA (SVIR_LNC004696)". Lineage: Eukaryota; Viridiplantae; Streptophyta; Magnoliopsida; Poales; Poaceae. The record is from RNAcentral.
UGUUUAGGCCCAAUUCUUAAUGAAUUUAACCGAACAUUCGCUAGCGUCAUAACUUUGUUUAGGCCCACAAAAUAAUGGGCCGAGGCAGCGAGCCCACGAAAUUUUGGGCCUAGUUAUUUUCGGGUGUAGGCUAGGUAGAGCUUAGUUAAAAUAUAAUCUAAUUUAAUAUUAUAAAAAAAACAAUUCUAUAAUUGAUAGCACAAUUAACCUUUACAUACCACACAUACAAAUAAAUGUUUCUCAGC